CCCGCCGCUGCUGCCCGCCUCAGCCCAACAUGGCGAUGCACAACAAGGCGGCGCCGCCGCAGAUCCCGGACACCCGGCGGGAGCUUGCCGAGCUCGUGAAGCGGAAGCAGGAGCUGGCGGAGACUCUGGCCAACUUGGAGAGACAGAUCUAUGCUUUUGAAGGAAGCUACCUGGAAGACACUCAGAUGUAUGGCAAUAUCAUUCGUGGCUGGGACCGCUACCUAACCAACCAAAAAAACUCCAAUAGCAAGAAUGAUCGAAGGAACCGGAAGUUUAAGGAAGCCGAGCGGCUCUUCAGUAAAUCCUCGGUGACGUCGGCAGCUGCAGUGAGUGCGUUGGCAGGAGUUCAGGACCAGCUCAUUGAAAAGAGGGAGCCGGGCAGUGGGACGGAAAGUGAUACCUCUCCAGACUUCCACAAUCAGGAGAAUGAGCCCAGCCAGGAGGACGCGGAGGAGCUGGACGGACCUGUGCAGGGGCUGAAGCCUCAGAAGGCUGCCUCUUCCACCUCCUCCGGGAGUCACCACAGCAGCCACAAAAAGCGGAAGAACAAGAACCGGCACAGGUAUGUAUAUUAGGUUAGGCUGGGAAGUUUUUUUUAAAAACAGAAAAACGUGAUGGAGGAUUGAUCUGAAGUUAAACAAAAAACCUCGAGCUGACUAUUAGAAGACUCCUCCGUGCAGAAGCCGCCGGCCGCGCAGAGCCCUGCUUCCCUCCUCCAGCCUCACGGAGACGCGCAUCCUUCAUCUGAGUGUGUGGUCGUCCGCUCUGCUCUCCCAGACCCAGUGCCUGUGACUUCGAGUAGUUGUCCUAAAUGUGACGAGUCAUUUCUGUAAGACAUUGGACCCUUUACUUUGUGUCAUUUGUAGUGACAGAACCGCAGGAAGACCAAGACACGGCUGUGCUCCCGGCAGGCUGCUGCCGCGCGUCCGUGCCCUCAGCCUGGCUGGCACCUGCGUCGUCUGUGCUCUGGUUUUGUUUUGUGCUGAAAGUGGAGCCCGAGUCACAUUGUGGAUGGAGGCUGUAAAUAGCUGGCGCCGUUUGUUUUGGUUUUGUUGUUUUCCUGGUGUUGCUUUGACCAUCUCAGUCCCUGGGGACUUGUCGCAAUGCCUUCGGACAGCUCAUCCCUCCCUGUCCGCAGACACGGCAGCCGGCGUGCCUGAGAUCCGUUCCAUGCACUUGCCAGUGCCCUUAACUGAAGAGUCUGCUUUGCCGUCUGUAAAGUGGGGCGCUCGGCUCUUUGUCCUUUGCAGGGGGAAGGUAAAGGUGUUUAUUUAAUGAUUACCUAUCUUAAGGCUUUCUGAGUUAGAAACAAUUUCAUGUUCACAGAACAGGAAACGCUGAAAAACAUCAGUUCAAAUCAAUCCUCUUAAAAUAGAUCUUUUUAUUCUUUUGUAUGAAUAAAAUUUCACAGGCCUUGACUUCUCAUGCACUACUUUUAAACCUGAGAUUGUUGUUCGCCUGUUCGUUCAUAUCAUGCCUUGUGGAGAUUCUUUCUUUGCCCACCUUUUCUCUCUUUGCUGGUGUUUACCUGAUUAAAUAUUGCUCUAAAAAUCACCAAAGUGUAUGGAAAGGCUCAAAGUUAACGCUGAAAGCCGGUAACGUGUGGCACUCCUGAGCGGAGAGCCCCCAGGGUUUGCGAGCCAGUGCUGCCCAGCAGAUGGCCCGUCCUCGCCCAGGAACCUGCGCCGUCACUCCCUGCCUCUGAGCAGUGCUGGUCCUCAGCUGUGCACCGGGGUCACCUGGUGAGCCUAACACUGACGCCUGGACCCGCCCCAGACACUGCAGGGGACGGCUACAGCCAUGUGACUGGGAUUUUCUUUCAAAGAGUCCUUGGAAUUCUGAUUAAAAGCCAAGUUGAAGACCUUUGUGUUGGGACACAGAAUGGUUUUUGAGUUCAAUCCCGUGUCAGGAGUCAGUCCAGGGAUACAGUUGGGGCCUCACCUUUCCCUUAACUCUAGUUGGUCCCAGUCCUUUACUUCUGCCCAUAGUUUUGAAAGAAAAACCCAUUCCACUUGUGAUACUGGUGAAGCUGAACAUGGGUGACGAGGGCCUGCCUUGUCUGGUGUGCAGAACCUGCACCCACGUUCUCAAGCUUUUCUUUCUUUUUUCUUUUUGGACUCUGUGGCUAUUUAGAUGUCGUUGCUAACAGAACUCCCAUGUCAGGGUUUU
Molecule: RNA transcript, 2169 nt
Organism: Lepus europaeus (European hare)
Lineage: Eukaryota; Metazoa; Chordata; Mammalia; Lagomorpha; Leporidae
Gene: MEAF6
Gene name: MYST/Esa1 associated factor 6
Exons: 8
Source: RefSeq, a predicted model, not a curated record